GAGCAAGGAAGCAAUCAUGAAGAAAACAGGAACUCGGGAGGAGCAAGGAAGCAAUCAUGAUGAAUGAGGGGUCUGGUAUCUCAUCUCUGGAUGUGGUAAUCUGCAACAUGCCUUGAGCGCUCCUGCCUGUCCUUGGAUGGUCUUCCUCGGCAGCAGCAUGGAAGGCGGGGCGGUUUUCUAUUUGUGGCUGUAUCACGAAGCACUUAAGCAAUCCACAGACAUAAAAUGUGGCUGGAUGUGGUGGCUCAUGUCUGUAAUCCCG
Molecule: long non-coding RNA, 262 nt
Filed under: Homo sapiens (human)
Lineage: Eukaryota; Metazoa; Chordata; Mammalia; Primates; Hominidae
Description: HSALNT0384720
Source: RNAcentral